UGCUUUAUAUUUUGGAAGAGCUAAGUGUGUAUUUGGAAAUGACCAUGUAUUCAUUUUGGGAAAAUAUGUAAAUGUAAUUGAAAGAGUGCUAUGUAAUGUAAUAGCUAGUAGAUCUCUCUUUAUUUCACUUGUAUUACUUGUGGAUUACUUGUUCUUUUUGUUGGCACCGGUUGUGCCCGUUGAUUGUGUAUGUAUUGAAUUUAAUAUCCUGGGUGAAUUCUUGUACACA
This 229-nucleotide long non-coding RNA is filed under the name Ananas comosus (pineapple). RNAcentral describes it as "long non-coding RNA (ACOM_LNC026156)". The record is from RNAcentral. Lineage: Eukaryota; Viridiplantae; Streptophyta; Magnoliopsida; Poales; Bromeliaceae.